Molecule: long non-coding RNA, 737 nt
Organism: Papilio xuthus (Asian swallowtail)
Lineage: Eukaryota; Metazoa; Arthropoda; Insecta; Lepidoptera; Papilionidae
Exons: 3
Source: RefSeq, a predicted model, not a curated record
UGUGCAAAUGCGAAUACAAAUAUAGAAAUUUAUGUAUUUCUUGGUAAUUUGUAACGCAACAAUGUAUCGCUUAGCGUUUUAAAAUUAAUACUUAGUAUCAAAGUUUGUAAAACAAUAUUGUGGAAGUUUUACAGUUGUUUACUCUUGCAAUUGUUUAGCCUAAUUGUUAGUUAUAAGUUUCCGUCCGGAAGUGGCGAAGUGCGCGCCGGUCUGUGAUCGGUUGUCGGCGGGCGAGGCGCGCCCGCGUGCCGCGUUUUUUGCGCGUGCGUUCCGCUCUCAUAGUGCCGACCAAUUACCGGCCAUUAGUGCAGUGUGUAGUGCAGCGAAACAUCACUACAAUGCUCACUGCAUCACUUGUUAAAUAUAUGUGAUAAAGUAGAAAGACAUGUUUCUCAUUUAUCUGAAUAAUUUCACAUAAUUCAAUACUAGUUGUGUAUACUAUUAUAAAACACAAUUCAUGAUAAAUCGUUUUCACUGACGUGAUAAGUUAAAACAUCAGCAAAAAUAAAUUAUAGUUAGUAACAUCUUCAAGAAAGUAGUGAUGUAACAAUGGUUAAAUCAAAAGUCACGAAUCAAUCGCUCACUGACAACUAAUGUAUAGACACAAAAAUCCAGACAAAAUAAUCGUAUGGUUAACGUAACACUUUCGCUCCGUAAUACGAAGCGUCACAGCAAUGCGGAACGAAUGAACGGAGCCUACGCAUCCAUUGUGUACCAGCGAUCGCAGCUCCGCGCCG